Triticum dicoccoides is the source of this 1070-nucleotide long non-coding RNA. RefSeq lists it as uncharacterized. Lineage: Eukaryota; Viridiplantae; Streptophyta; Magnoliopsida; Poales; Poaceae. The record is from RefSeq and is a predicted model, not a curated record. The transcript is spliced from 2 exons.
ACGGUGUCCUUUUCUCACCUUGUUUUAAAAUUCAGGUUUCUUAUGUAAACUAGUGUUUCCCAAACACGAACACACUGCGGCCGUCUUCACGCAACAAGUAUUGGAAAAUCUUAUCUACACAAGGACAUAUUCGCAAGCAUAAUGCAGAACUGGUAUAGAUAUACGAGUAGGUUACAGAGUUAAUUACAUAUGUCCUUUUCAAUAUCAAUUCCGACUGUCAAUGAUAACAUCGUUUUCUUGUCUCCAAUGGUAACACGGUCAAGUUACGGUGUGAAAUGGCUUUUAAUUUUUUCCAAUGUUAAACGUGUGAUAUAAAAUCUGUUUGGGGUAUAUACUUUGUUGUCUUUUGUCACUAGGUCACCUAAACCAUAGCUGAAUUUUAUGGUUUAAGUUGUCUGAGAUAUAUUUUUUGUUACUGGAUUAAACGAGCCACAGAAUAAGCCCAAUGCUAGUUUGACAAAUGUAGAUUGACAGCGAGGGCAGUUGGUAUUAUUAUUUUUGCUUCUGUUCUACCUUGGGGCAGUAGUCCACCUUUAUACUAAAGGCUGGAAGAGAAGAACCUUAAUAUUAAACCAAGUUUCGAGAACUUUUUGGUGACUUGAUUGGUUCCCUUCCCCUAAUUUUCACAGGAUGAUUUCCGUGAAGUUUAUCUUGAUCACCAUUCUAUGAUAUUUCUGGAUACUUUUGUGAAGCUUUUUCUGUAUACCUGACAAAAUAGUCAACUAGUCGAUAAUUUGGAUUUCUUGGGAGUUCAAUUUGAUGCCGUAGGGUUCGGCGCACCAAGGACGACGACAAAUUGUCACAGCCGGUGGAUCUCUCGAACACGGCUGGAGUCGUCUGGACGUUUGAUGAUGAUGGGAGUACUUAUUUACUAGUGUAUGUAAGUUAUUUCCUCUUGCUGGAUGUGGGGCAUCUUUUGUUUCUCUUUGGCGCGCAGCCAGUCCAUCUCCAUGCCCCUGCUUUGGUCCGCUCAAGUAGCCGUCAGGUGUUGGAUCGUGGAUCAGUGAGCAGUGCCUGACCAUGACAAGUGAGCGACCACACAAAUUUCGUGCGAAAGACCAGAUUCUCCG